GGGUUGUGAGGUUAAGCGACUAAGCGUACACGGUGGAUGCCCUGGCAGUCAGAGGCGAUGAAGGACGUGCUAAUCUGCGAUAAGCGUCGGUAAGGUGAUAUGAACCGUUAUAACCGGCGAUUUCCGAAUGGGGAAACCCAGUGUGAUUCGUCACACUAUCAUUAACUGAAUCCAUAGGUUAAUGAGGCGAACCGGGGGAACUGAAACAUCUAAGUACCCCGAGGAAAAGAAAUCAACCGAGAUUCCCCCAGUAGCGGCGAGCGAACGGGGAGCAGCCCAGAGCCUGAAUCAGUGUGUGUGUUAGUGGAAGCGUCUGGAAAGGCGCGCGAUACAGGGUGACAGCCCCGUACACAAAAAUGCACAUGCUGUGAGCUCGAUGAGUAGGGCGGGACACGUGGUAUCCUGUCUGAAUAUGGGGGGACCAUCCUCCAAGGCUAAAUACUCCUGACUGACCGAUAGUGAACCAGUACCGUGAGGGAAAGGCGAAAAGAACCCCGGCGAGGGGAGUGAAAAAGAACCUGAAACCGUGUACGUACAAGCAGUGGGAGCACAGAGCAAUCUGUGUGACUGCGUACCUUUUGUAUAAUGGGUCAGCGACUUAUAUUCUGUAGCAAGGUUAACCGAAUAGGGGAGCCGAAGGGAAACCGAGUCUUAACUGGGCGUUAAGUUGCAGGGUAUAGACCCGAAACCCGGUGAUCUAGCCAUGGGCAGGUUGAAGGUUGGGUAACACUAACUGGAGGACCGAACCGACUAAUGUUGAAAAAUUAGCGGAUGACUUGUGGCUGGGGGUGAAAGGCCAAUCAAACCGGGAGAUAGCUGGUUCUCCCCGAAAGCUAUUUAGGUAGCGCCUCGUGAAUUCAUCUCCGGGGGUAGAGCACUGUUUCGGCAAGGGGGUCAUCCCGACUUACCAACCCGAUGCAAACUGCGAAUACCGGAGAAUGUUAUCACGGGAGACACACGGCGGGUGCUAACGUCCGUCGUGAAGAGGGAAACAACCCAGACCGCCAGCUAAGGUCCCAAAGUCAUGGUUAAGUGGGAAACGAUGUGGGAAGGCCCAGACAGCCAGGAUGUUGGCUUAGAAGCAGCCAUCAUUUAAAGAAAGCGUAAUAGCUCACUGGUCGAGUCGGCCUGCGCGGAAGAUGUAACGGGGCUAAACCAUGCACCGAAGCUGCGGCAGCGACACUAUGUGUUGUUGGGUAGGGGAGCGUUCUGUAAGCCUGUGAAGGUGUGCUGUGAGGCAUGCUGGAGGUAUCAGAAGUGCGAAUGCUGACAUAAGUAACGAUAAAGCGGGUGAAAAGCCCGCUCGCCGGAAGACCAAGGGUUCCUGUCCAACGUUAAUCGGGGCAGGGUGAGUCGACCCCUAAGGCGAGGCCGAAAGGCGUAGUCGAUGGGAAACAGGUUAAUAUUCCUGUACUUGGUGUUACUGCGAAGGGGGGACGGAGAAGGCUAUGUUGGCCGGGCGACGGUUGUCCCGGUUUAAGCGUGUAGGCUGGUUUUCCAGGCAAAUCCGGAAAAUCAAGGCUGAGGCGUGAUGACGAGGCACUACGGUGCUGAAGCAACAAAUGCCCUGCUUCCAGGAAAAGCCUCUAAGCAUCAGGUAACAUCAAAUCGUACCCCAAACCGACACAGGUGGUCAGGUAGAGAAUACCAAGGCGCUUGAGAGAACUCGGGUGAAGGAACUAGGCAAAAUGGUGCCGUAACUUCGGGAGAAGGCACGCUGAUAUGUAGGUGAAGUCCCUCGCGGAUGGAGCUGAAAUCAGUCGAAGAUACCAGCUGGCUGCAACUGUUUAUUAAAAACACAGCACUGUGCAAACACGAAAGUGGACGUAUACGGUGUGACGCCUGCCCGGUGCCGGAAGGUUAAUUGAUGGGGUUAGCGCAAGCGAAGCUCUUGAUCGAAGCCCCGGUAAACGGCGGCCGUAACUAUAACGGUCCUAAGGUAGCGAAAUUCCUUGUCGGGUAAGUUCCGACCUGCACGAAUGGCGUAAUGAUGGCCAGGCUGUCUCCACCCGAGACUCAGUGAAAUUGAACUCGCUGUGAAGAUGCAGUGUACCCGCGGCAAGACGGAAAGACCCCGUGAACCUUUACUAUAGCUUGACACUGAACAUUGAGCCUUGAUGUGUAGGAUAGGUGGGAGGCUUUGAAGUGUGGACGCCAGUCUGCAUGGAGCCGACCUUGAAAUACCACCCUUUAAUGUUUGAUGUUCUAACGUGGACCCGUGAUCCGGGUUGCGGACAGUGUCUGGUGGGUAGUUUGACUGGGGCGGUCUCCUCCUAAAGAGUAACGGAGGAGCACGAAGGUUGGCUAAUCCUGGUCGGACAUCAGGAGGUUAGUGCAAUGGCAUAAGCCAGCUUGACUGCGAGCGUGACGGCGCGAGCAGGUGCGAAAGCAGGUCAUAGUGAUCCGGUGGUUCUGAAUGGAAGGGCCAUCGCUCAACGGAUAAAAGGUACUCCGGGGAUAACAGGCUGAUACCGCCCAAGAGUUCAUAUCGACGGCGGUGUUUGGCACCUCGAUGUCGGCUCAUCACAUCCUGGGGCUGAAGUAGGUCCCAAGGGUAUGGCUGUUCGCCAUUUAAAGUGGUACGCGAGCUGGGUUUAGAACGUCGUGAGACAGUUCGGUCCCUAUCUGCCGUGGGCGCUGGAGAACUGAGGGGGGCUGCUCCUAGUACGAGAGGACCGGAGUGGACGCAUCACUGGUGUUCGGGUUGUCAUGCCAAUGGCACUGCCCGGUAGCUAAAUGCGGAAGAGAUAAGUGCUGAAAGCAUCUAAGCACGAAACUUGCCCCGAGAUGAGUUCUCCCUGACUCCUUGAGAGUCCUGAAGGAACGUUGAAGACGACGACGUUGAUAGGCCGGGUGUGUAAGCGCAGCGAUGCGUUGAGCUAACCGGUACUAAUGAACCGUGAGGCUUAACCUUACAACGCCGAAGGUGUUU
This 2932-nucleotide ribosomal RNA is filed under the name Escherichia coli. RNAcentral describes it as "23S ribosomal RNA". It matches the Rfam family "Bacterial large subunit ribosomal RNA". The record is from RNAcentral. Lineage: Bacteria; Pseudomonadati; Pseudomonadota; Gammaproteobacteria; Enterobacterales; Enterobacteriaceae.